Molecule: long non-coding RNA, 225 nt
Filed under: Olea europaea (common olive)
Lineage: Eukaryota; Viridiplantae; Streptophyta; Magnoliopsida; Lamiales; Oleaceae
Description: long non-coding RNA (OEUR_LNC007928)
Source: RNAcentral
GUGUCUAGUCCCUUAACUUUUAUCUUGUCUAUUUUACUCCUCAAAUUUGAACUUUCCUUUCAAUCAAGUCUUCCAAAAAUUGCAACCCUAGGUCCCUAAACUUUUGGCACUUGUACACUGUGGUCUCCAAAAGUCAUGCUUUUGUGCAUUUUUGGUCCUUUUUUCAUUCCUUUGGGUUUAUUCUCUUCCAAUUUGGGAUUUUAGCCUAUAAAAGUCAUAAUUACA